Molecule: long non-coding RNA, 684 nt
Filed under: Dasypus novemcinctus (nine-banded armadillo)
Lineage: Eukaryota; Metazoa; Chordata; Mammalia; Cingulata; Dasypodidae
Description: lncRNA (ENSDNOG00000050979.1)
Source: RNAcentral
GCGGCGCGUGGGCCUGCGCGUGAGGAGGGCCGUUGGAAAGGUGUCAGGCGCGCGGCUCCCGGAGGCGGCGACACGACGCGGAGUUAACCGUUGUCGGGGGGGGCGCACUUGGCGUAACCCAGAGCUGCAGUGAGGCUGGAGCUCAGUGAGCGCCCGGGGUGGCGCUGGAGGCCGGGAAGGGUCCUUCUCCCGGAGUCUGGUCGCUAAGCCGCGUGGGGUCCGGUCCCGUUCUCCGUCCGCUGCCCCUUCCUCGGCCCCGGGCCCUGCAGAUGCGCGUUAAGGACCCUGGUUGGCCCGUUGGCGUCCGCUCCGCUCGCCCCCUCCAGGCUCUGCUGGGAAGCAAUGGUUUUCAACUUUUCCCCUUAAUAUACUUUUCUUCUUAAUAUUUCUGAGGGUUGUCAUUCCAACCUGGGCUGUUGCUCAUGGCCCACGCUAUGCAGCAAGCUUUCUCAAAACCUGGAGUCUGUCACAGACCUUUACUUCAGCCAGCAACACACCUGUUAACCUGGCCAAGGCACCUCUUCAUCUCUUAGUUCCUGCUCAUAGUUCUUGGUUCAUCCUGAGCUGAAUUUCUCCAUUGUGAGGAGGAGGAGGAGUCUCCCUGAAGAAAAUAAGGCAGGUAGGUAAGCCCACGGGACACGCGGGAUGAGUCCCUCAACCAUAGAGCUACCUCAGCGUUUUCUC